This 1107-nucleotide ribosomal RNA is filed under the name Bacillus sp. (in: firmicutes). Its description in RNAcentral is "bacterial SSU rRNA". It matches the Rfam family "Bacterial small subunit ribosomal RNA", at positions 57 to 1149 of the family's 1533-position model. Lineage: Bacteria; Bacillati; Bacillota; Bacilli; Caryophanales; Bacillaceae. The record is from RNAcentral.
GCAGUCGAGCGGACAGAUGGGAGCUUGCUCCCUGAUGUUAGCGGCGGACGGGUGAGUAACACGUGGGUAACCUGCCUGUAAGACUGGGAUAACUCCGGGAAACCGGGGCUAAUACCGGAUGGUUGUCUGAACCGCAUGGUUCAGACAUAAAAGGUGGCUUCGGCUACCACUUACAGAUGGACCCGCGGCGCAUUAGCUAGUUGGUGAGGUAACGGCUCACCAAGGCGACGAUGCGUAGCCGACCUGAGAGGGUGAUCGGCCACACUGGGACUGAGACACGGCCCAGACUCCUACGGGAGGCAGCAGUAGGGAAUCUUCCGCAAUGGACGAAAGUCUGACGGAGCAACGCCGCGUGAGUGAUGAAGGUUUUCGGAUCGUAAAGCUCUGUUGUUAGGGAAGAACAAGUGCCGUUCAAAUAGGGCGGCACCUUGACGGUACCUAACCAGAAAGCCACGGCUAACUACGUGCCAGCAGCCGCGGUAAUACGUAGGUGGCAAGCGUUGUCCGGAAUUAUUGGGCGUAAAGGGCUCGCAGGCGGUUUCUUAAGUCUGAUGUGAAAGCCCCCGGCUCAACCGGGGAGGGUCAUUGGAAACUGGGGAACUUGAGUGCAGAAGAGGAGAGUGGAAUUCCACGUGUAGCGGUGAAAUGCGUAGAGAUGUGGAGGAACACCAGUGGCGAAGGCGACUCUCUGGUCUGUAACUGACGCUGAGGAGCGAAAGCGUGGGGAGCGAACAGGAUUAGAUACCCUGGUAGUCCACGCCGUAAACGAUGAGUGCUAAGUGUUAGGGGGUUUCCGCCCCUUAGUGCUGCAGCUAACGCAUUAAGCACUCCGCCUGGGGAGUACGGUCGCAAGACUGAAACUCAAAGGAAUUGACGGGGGCCCGCACAAGCGGUGGAGCAUGUGGUUUAAUUCGAAGCAACGCGAAGAACCUUACCAGGUCUUGACAUCCUCUGACAAUCCUAGAGAUAGGACGUCCCCUUCGGGGGCAGAGUGACAGGUGGUGCAUGGUUGUCGUCAGCUCGUGUCGUGAGAUGUUGGGUUAAGUCCCGCAACGAGCGCAACCCUUGAUCUUAGUUGCCAGCAUUCAGUUGGGCCCCUAAGGGGAC